UUGAUCAGUUUAGGAGGGGAGAAUGGAGAGAGAGGGAGCGAUUGUGAGGGAAAGAAAGCUAGACCAGGGUUAUCGGUGUGGAUCGCACACAAGAAAGAGACUGCUAACGGAUGAGACACGUUUUAAGCGAUUCCGUAAAAUGGAUUUCUGCAUAAACUGCAUUUUUAAAUUAGGAAUUACAGCCAGGUUCUUCUGUGUGACACACUGCGGGAGGUAAAGAUGGACGCUGAAAUUACAACAUUGUUUUGAGCACAACAGAAAUUGCCUUUUUUCUUCUUGUUCCAUGUUUUUAUGGAGUAUUUGCCAGUCCAAAUACAGAUGCUUAAAGAGUUUUGGUCCUGUUAGCUGUCCGUGAGUCCAUUUUGUCUCCAUGACACCUGCAGCAGCAUCUGGCUCAUCGGACAAAGCCUUCGUCCAACUGAACCAGGAGCUUGGUCUGUUUCCUCUUUUGCAUGCUAUCCUCCUUUCCUUUCACCCAACCUCUCUCCUUUUCCUCUCUCUCUUUCUCUGUCUUUCGCUUGCUCUCUUCCCCUCCAACCCUUCCUCUCUAGUGAUUUACCUCCGGUGAUUUGUAUUAAUUAUUGGCCUCUUUAAUAUUAUUGGAUGUCUUUUAGACUUGUCAAGAAUUGCAAGUAACUAUUCUACUUUUCUGAUGUAGAUUAGUGUUAAAGCACAGAGGAAAAUUGCAAUUUAAACUUUAGGAAAUUAGUUUAAAUAUACAGAUAUAUUCUUCAGUUCUAUGAAGCACUAUAAAAAAAAUUCCAUAAAAAGUACUUUCCAUCCUUGUUGUAUAUGUAGUUGACACCAGUGUGGCUAUAUACUGUAUAUAUAUAUACACCAGUUAGCACAAUCAAUAAUUCAUUUCAGCUUUCAGGUAUUUGUACCUAUAUGUAAUAUUUUUCCUGAGUAUAUGUGUCUGUUCUGCUAUUUCCAUGACACAAUCUGUAGUUGAAUACAUUGGGCCUGCCUCUGAAGGACAGGACACUGUAGGUUUCCUUACUUUAUAGUAUCUUCUUAGAAACACAGGGAUCUAUUGUGCAUCGUAGUUUCAGCAAAGAGUAAGCGAGUUUGCUGCACAGAAAGGGUAUGUGCCAGAUUGAUUUUUCUCCUCUUCUCAGCACCCUGCCUCCUUUGUGUUUCCGCAUUUGGACAUCCUGGAGCAAAUAUCUCUCAGUUGCUGCCUGACCAGCUGGAAAAGUGGAUGGAUCUUUAAAGGACCAGCUGUAUGCCAGAACACCUGAAACAGGUUGAGACCUCAACCAUGCCUAAGAGCUCUAGUGUCAGACCAAAGUGAAGACCCUCCCACUGUAUGGCAAAAUAUCCAACAUGGCUCCUUCCCUCAGCAGAGGCUAGCAGUGCAGACAGGACUGGAGUCUGACUUAGUGCUGGAGGCAAGAAAACAACUAAAUGAUCAGAAACUGACCUGAGAGAAACAUCUGCAGUAAAGGCUUGCAGCUCAGCAGGAAUGAACAGAGUAGAUGAAUCACUGAAUUGUUUCAUGGGCAUGCGAGUGUUUUGGUGCCAUUUUUUUCUUAACCAUGUUGCGAGCCAGCGUGAUUUAUUAUUUUUACCCCAAGAGACAUCUGUUACACCAUUCCCUGUUUUUGUAAUGCAUCAUCAGCCAGAGGAAAAGUAAUAUUAUCCAGCCUGGGAUAUUGCACUCUGGAGUCUAAUAAUCUAAUGUAUACUAGGGCUGUUGUCAUUAAAUUGCCAGUGGAGCUGUUGGAAGAUGCUGGUCAGUGUUUCCUCCCUGAAGUGUCUGAAUAUCGACCAGGCCUCAGUGACACCACACCUGCUGGAAAUUUCAGGUAUUUGACUACAAGAGGAAUGCUGAUUGCAAGAGGAGAGAGGCAGCAGAUGAAUCAAAAUCUCAUAGCCUUUGUUUUUUAUCUGCUAUUAUAGUUGCAGAGUUGGAAAACUUUCUUCUGAAGACCUUAUCCCUGAGGGGACUCUGCCCUUUGCAGACAUUUCUAACAUUUUGGAAAUUACUACGAUUGAGAAGAUUCUACUUUUAGUAUUAUAAUGACCUUCAAUCAUCAGUGAAAAGAACUAAAACAUGUUCAAUUGGUGUAAUAUAAAAAAAUACAUAAAAUGAACAGUGAAUAAAGGCUGUGAAAUCACAGUCACAGGCUAAUUGUUCUGUGAAGACUUUGAGUUUUUCUGAUUAAUGUCAGAGUACCUUAAAGCACUAUGUUGUACUUUUAUCUUUUAUAUAUUGAUCUUUAUUGUGAUUAUUGCAUUUCUGUAUGUUGACAUCUACAAAAGAAGGUAUGCUUAAGUAGCACCCAGAAACUACUCCUAAAGUAAAAUGCCCACAAGUCAAAACAGCCAAAAUCUUAAUGAGUCUGGCCAGAUAGAAAAGGAAUUUCUGCAAAAUAAAAGAAUAAUAAAGGUAUCAAACCCUUAACAAGUC
Xiphophorus maculatus (southern platyfish) is the source of this 2413-nucleotide long non-coding RNA. RefSeq lists it as uncharacterized. The record is from RefSeq and is a predicted model, not a curated record. The transcript has 6 exons. NCBI's taxonomy places the organism in Eukaryota, Metazoa, Chordata, Actinopteri, Cyprinodontiformes, Poeciliidae.